AACAAUCUCAUGCGUGGUGGUGCAGUAUUCUAGUCAGCCCGGCCAAUUUUGAAGACGGGCCUAAAAAUCCGUCAAGGGCACAUCGAUGAAGUUCCUGGUGCUGGCUCUCGACGCCCAGUCGGGGGUUGGUGCUGGGAGUUAAGGAAGGUGGGCGAUCCGCAAAGGCAUGCGGGCGUUGACCCACUUUCCGCGGAGACCCAAGCUGGUGGUAACCAUCGGUUGCUACUACUUGGGCGUGAACCUGUAUCGCGGCGAAAAGCUGUGUACAGUGUAGCCCGCCUUGAGUGGUAUGGGUGGAUUACAGGUCAGGUUCCUGCGCAAUAGGGCCCAUUGUGCGGGGACUAUUGCUGUAUGAAACCCAUGCUGCAAAAGAGGCUAGAAAUUGGCUGCGGCUGUCGGGGAAAGCCCCUAGACUGCUAUACGGUGCGUUGGGGAUUACAGUGUGGUCUAAGUGGUGAUCCAGUUUUACCGUUGGCGACACGGUAAGGCGGGGUUUAAAGGGAAACCGCUUCUUCGGCGACGGGAAGUACCCUGCCGGGAAAUCCUACUGGACCUUAAGCCGCAAAGUCUACCCAACGCAUCACCACCACGAUACAUAUUAAG
This 603-nucleotide small RNA is filed under the name Caldicoprobacter faecalis. Lineage: Bacteria; Bacillati; Bacillota; Clostridia; Caldicoprobacterales; Caldicoprobacteraceae. The record is from RNAcentral.